Molecule: transfer RNA, 16 nt
Filed under: Pituophis melanoleucus
Lineage: Eukaryota; Metazoa; Chordata; Lepidosauria; Squamata; Colubridae
Also listed under: 3 other names
Description: partial tRNA-Thr
Source: RNAcentral
GCUCCAGUAGCUUAUU